This 300-nucleotide long non-coding RNA is filed under the name Physcomitrium patens. Its description in RNAcentral is "long non-coding RNA (PPAT_LNC009950)". The record is from RNAcentral. Lineage: Eukaryota; Viridiplantae; Streptophyta; Bryopsida; Funariales; Funariaceae.
AGGCAAUUGUCGCGCUUCAUAGUAAAGUCAAUUGCUUGACUCAAUGUUUGAGGAUCAGGUAAGUUGAGCAUUAAUUUUUUUACCUCAUAUUGUAAUCCAUUGAGAAAUUGGCUAAUAAGUGCAGCAUCAUCUCACUUGAUAUCAGUUGCAAGUUAUCAAAAUUAUGAAGCAUACAAUAUUACUGAUCGAUUGCCUUGUCGUAAAAUACGGAUCUUAUAAAUUGCAACAUGAAUUGCAUCAUGUUUUCUGUACAUGAAUCAAAACUCUGCCAAAAAUAUCUCUAGAUUAUCAAAUAUUAGA